This 1239-nucleotide long non-coding RNA is filed under the name Oryctolagus cuniculus (rabbit). RNAcentral's name for it is "lncRNA (ENSOCUG00000037567.1)". The record is from RNAcentral. Lineage: Eukaryota; Metazoa; Chordata; Mammalia; Lagomorpha; Leporidae.
UGCUCAGCCCAUCCUUUGUCUCCUUCCCGCAGACUCCCUUUCCGUUUCCUGUCUCCGGUCCCCAUGCAAACUCAACUCUCUCCCGUCCCCGCCUCCCCACCGCCCUCGCUCCCUUCUUCCAUCACAGAGCUCCGAUCCCUUGUUGGUUCCCGUAUCUGUUCCACUAUCUCCGCCUCUGGCCAUCUUCUAACCAGCGUCUGACACAGACGUCCACCUGUCCCUCGCACCAGGGCAGCCGGCGGCUGUGAGCGCACCUGUCGGCAUUGUCCUCACUCUCUUCAGCGGUCACAGCUUGCAGGUUGAUGUCUGCCGGCCACAGACAACACUGUAGCCACUGUCAUGGGCAGAGCUGGAGAGACCCAGGUCGUGCUUUGGAGUGGAAAGCAUCUCUAUGGCCCUGCCCCAGAACCGGAUCUACUCACUGCCAGGAACCUGGAAUCAUCUCCAGAGUCCACAUCUCAGGGAGCCUUACUAUGACCCAGAUUCUCCUCUCCCAUAUCUAUCUGUUGUAGUUGAUGACUGCAGCUUGCACUGUGACCUGGGCCACGAUGCAGCCUGCUUCACAUCUUCUUAAAGGUACCUGCCCCCAAACCAUUGACUCCCUAUUCCUCAGCCCUACGCACCCAUAAGGUCAAGCCCCAGAACAAAUGUUUAGGGAACGAGACUCGCUGUUCACAUUUUAUUUUGCCAAUAGCAACAGGACAAUGCCACAAAUCGGCAAACCCCACCCCAGCCCCAGCAUUCCACUUUGCCUGUCUUGUUUUUUUUUUUUUUUUUAAGAUUUAUUUAUUUAUUUAAAAAGCAGGUUUCAGAGAGAGAAAGAGAAAGGUCUUCCACUUGCUGGUUCACUCUCUGAAUGGCUGCAACAGUCCGAGUUGUGCUGAUCUGAAGUCAGGAGCCAGGAGCUUCUUCUGGGUCUCCUACAUGGGUGCAGGGGCCCGAGGACUUGGGGCAUUUUCCACUACUUUCUCAGGAGGUAGCAGAGACCUGGAUCGGAAGUGGAGCAGCCAGGACUCAAACCGGCACCCAUGUGGGGUGCCAGCACUGCAGGCGGCGGCUUCACCCACUGCACCACAGUGCCAGCCCUUUGGCUGCCUCUUGCUUCAUCAACUUUACCCCUCCAAGUCUGAUUCAGGGAGUCUGACAUGUUGUUCCUCAAGGUGCUUGACAGGAGACCUGAAGCUUGACAAUAAUCUGGAGAUCGGGAGACAUGAGGAAAGCAGAAGGUUCCUGCGUUAG